This is a non-coding RNA of Theobroma cacao (cacao), 2181 nucleotides long. NCBI's taxonomy places the organism in Eukaryota, Viridiplantae, Streptophyta, Magnoliopsida, Malvales, Malvaceae. The record is from RefSeq and is a predicted model, not a curated record.
AGUGGCCAUCCCUGAUUCUUUGCCUGCAGAGGUUGCAGUUUCCAAUGGUUGUGAUGAUUCAUAUUCUAGAGUAGGAAGAUCAGUUGGGGAGAAUGCAGACAUAUUUUUUGGGUUGGAAUGUCUUGAUCAAUUUAUUACUCAAUCUUCUAAUAACAAUGGAGGCAUUCAAAUUGAUGAUGAAAGAACAGGGAAACAGGAAGGAGGAGCCUUUCCUGAUAUUACGUCUGCUGGGAUCAUUGCUUCUGGACGGCGUGCUGGGAAAUUCAAACCCAAGCCCAUGUUACAAAUUAGUGUAGUCACCUUGCAACCUGCUGUGUGGAUUCUGUUGUGCAUCCUCCAAAUUCUCAGUUUGAUCCUUCAGAAACUAUGAUUGGAGAGAGCUCAAUUUCUGACUUUCCACCUGAUGAUGUUCCUGAUUGCUCACCCAUGGAUUUACGUGCUUUUAUUCCUAAAGAUCCUUCUACCUCUGAAGUUCCAGCGAAUGAGGAACUGGUAAACCUCACAGAAGCUUCUAACUCAGGUGUUGCCCUUUCUGGAGAUGUUCCUGGCAUGCCUUAAAAAAGUGAGUUCUAACAUCAGGCAAAGGAAGGCCUCUCUAGUAUCAAAUCUUUCUCAAAAGCCCAAACAAUCUUCCAUUGGAGAGGAGGAGAAUGAAAAUGACAAAGCAACAAAGCAGUUGAGAAAGCAGGUGACUAGUCCUCAGAUUGUUGUUGAUCAUGAGGAUGGGACUUGCAAUGAUGAUGGCCCAGCCGCUGGACUUCCCGGUAGCUCUGCUAUAGAUGAGGAUAAAGAUGAUGAUGGCAAUUAUGAUGACGAAUAUAAUGUGGAGAGUUCAUUUCCCACGAGGAGAACUUCUAGGAGGUCAAAGAAACCUGUGGCUGAAAAUGAAAAACCUCUUCGAAAGCUUAAGAUAGCUGAUGAAAAACAAGCUCAAAAGCAUGAGAAAACCAAUGAAGCAUCAGUUCAGCCAGCAAAAGAAAGACCUAAGAAAUUUUCUCAUUCAACUCGCAAAAAGAGAAGAUUUGGUUAUUACAACUUGUAGACAUUAAAGUUGUGAGGAUUAUUCUUUAUCUAUUUAUUAAUAACAUCCCUUUUCUUUUCUAGUGGAUAAGUCUUUACUGCACAUUACAGAGGAUGAAAUUGACUUUGCAAAGGUGGCUUUGAAGUAUAUCAUUUUGUUUGCAGAUUACAAGGAGCAGUUAGCGAAGAAAGAUGCCAAAACAUAAAAAAUACCAUUGAUGAAUUGAAGUGCUCAAAAACUUUUCAUGCGGAAAAUGCUAAUAAUGAAGAAAACUCCCUUGCUUCAGAACAAGACCAAGGUUUUACAGACGAUCAAGUGAAUAGUAGGGCUCAGUCAAGUUCUUUCUGCUUAAAUUACCAGUCUUACAUGGACAAAGAACCCACAGCAAGAUGGUCAAAACAAGACAGAAUUAUUUUAUAGGGCCAUUCAGCAGUUUGGGCCUGAUUUUUUAGUGAUAAAACAACUUUUUACUGGAAGAAGUCGUCAUCAGAUCAAGUUAAAAUUCAAGAAUGAAGAGCGUCAAUAUCCAUUGAGACUUUCUGAGGCUUUAGCAAGUUGUGCUGAUGGUGGAGUUCCUUUUUUGUUGUGUUUUCAGUCAAAUCAUGCCUAUUUUGAAAUGGUGAUCGAGCAGUUGCAGCAAGUUUCUUAGGCAGAGGAGGAGUCUAAUGGAGAUGUUUCCAUUGAUUUUACACGUGAAGAGGAUGAAGCAGCAAAAGCUGAGCAGGAUGAGGAUGUAGCAUUCAAAGAUCAAGGAGCAGAUGUUACUGAAGACCAUAGUGCUUUAAAGUCCAAUGAAACUGAUGAUAAUGAUGAAAUAUUGAGUUCAUAUAGAAGUGCAUUUUAGUAAUCAAGACCAGAACACAAGUGGUGUAGAUUUUUUAAAAAAAUAUGAAGGAAAAAAAAACCUGAAAAAUGAGAAUAUCAAUUAUUUUUAUGUAUUUUCCAACUGAUUUUUAGGCAAUGUUUGAAUCUGGCUUUUGCAAAGGGCAAUUCUUGCAAAGGGGAUUGAAGAUAGGAUCUUGUUUUCUAUAAGAAGAGAGAUGUAAUUAUCAAUUAGGUUAUGUCAUAGUCAUGGGAUGUACAUGUUGUCUAUAGAAAAGCAUUUUAAACUAUUUGUAUGGUACCUUGUUCUUAUGAUAAGUCUUGCUUAUUAUUUGACA